This is a long non-coding RNA of Medicago truncatula (barrel medic), 4084 nucleotides long. RefSeq lists it as uncharacterized. The transcript is spliced from 4 exons. The record is from RefSeq and is a predicted model, not a curated record. NCBI's taxonomy places the organism in Eukaryota, Viridiplantae, Streptophyta, Magnoliopsida, Fabales, Fabaceae.
CCUUAUAAAAAGCGAUUGCUAUCACCAUUUUGACAAAAGUGGAGUGGAACAGCGCCGCUAAAGGAUUGGACUAUUUUGCUGCAAGACUGACAUUUACAUAGAGUUGAAAAAGAGUAGAUCUAAGAGCGUCAAAACAAAAACUUAUUCAUGGACUAUCAUCGAGGCAUAAUUGAAAGGAAGUCGUCAAUAUUAUCUUAUAUUUCUACUCAUUCAAGGAUGGGGAUAGAUCUAUUGUUCUUUUGGAUAAGCUCCACUGUAAUCUUCAACGAGUGUGAUUUCUUUGAUUAAAUAUGGGUAGAUCUUUAGCAUCAAAGGUGACUAUCAUUUUAAAAGGAAGACUAUGUGGACGGUGAGAGAAUAAAUUGCCAUAAGUGUUCUUUGUUUUUGUUGCUUGUGUUUUUCGUCUUCUUCGUUCUGUUAAAUCUUCCUCCGGGGAAAAAACCAUUGGAUUGGAAUACAAGAAUGAGAGUAGUUGCUGUUGUAGCUAAAGGUUUGGAGUAUUUGCAUGAUAAAAUGAAGCCUCCUGUAAUAUACCGUGACCUCAAAUGCUCCAACAUUUUGUUAGGCUACGAUUAUCAUCCCAAGUUAUUUGAUUUUGGCGGCAAAAGUAGGUUCAAUCGGUGAUAAGACUCAUGUUUCAACAAGAUUUAUGGGAACAUAUGGCUACUGUGCUCGAGAGUACUGAAUGACAGGUCAAUUAACAUUCAAGUCUGACAUUUAUAGCUUUGGAGUUGCUCUUUUGGAGCUCAUCACAGGCAGAAAGGCCUUUGACGAUAUUAAACCUUUAACAGGAGGCUAAAAAUGCAAAAGGGUUGAAUCUAUAGUUGAACUGUGUAAACAAUGGCUCGUAGAAUUAAGAAAAAUGAAAUCAUUUGAAUGAAAUCAUUUUAGACAGAUGAAGAACAACGGUGUAUCACUCAUGACUGUGAUUUCUUUGAUUAAAGUAGAUAAAUAUGUGCAUAAAAGAUUACUAGAUUUUGUAUUACUUUUAAAAGAAGGUAACAAUAAUUAGGAAAUGGAUUGAUGUACUCAUUCUCGUUCAUAUGUACUAUUAUAGUUGGGUUUGAAUUGAUUGAUUUUAUUUAGAUAAGUUCUAAAUAAAAUAAAAUCAAUCUUUUUAAAAGAAAAAGUUAAAGUGAAAAGGAAUCACAUGACGUCUUUGAUAUCCUAACUAUGUUGAUACCUCAAAAAUAAAACACAUAUAUGCAGUAUGUAUUUGUAAAUGUGUUUCAUAACAUUGCAUUUUGUCUAAAGUGUAUUUUAAGACAUUAUAGCAAAAUCACAUUUUUUUUUUCUCGAAAUUAAAUGUUCAAACAUCUAUUGGUGUAAGGAAAUUGAUGUUUGCUCUUCCUGCCCCAUGGUUCUUACAGACCGCCUCAAAUCUUACUGAAAGCUUGUAAGACCCUUAAUUUAGCGAUGACUAAAUCUAGGUAUUUGUAUUUCUUUUUUAUAUUUUUGUUGUUAAUAAAUGGUUUUAAUGAAAUGUUAUGAUCUAGGUUUCAGGUUCGAUUCUCCCUGAUACCAAUUUAGGUUGGUUAAUUUAGUUUCUUAAAAAAAAAUUGUCAUAAUUUAAAAAAAUAAAAUAAAAUUAUUCCUUUGAUUUGAGAAAACAUGUUGUAUGUACGUGAUGUUCAAAUUUUCAAUGGACCAAGAGUGCCAUGAAAAUUUAAACAAGAGUUUAAACAUUGUUAUUUUGAUGAUCCCAUUAUACUUCUUCAAAUUUUGGAAAUGAGAUUUUUGUGGAAAAGUUAUUUUGAUUUCAAAACCAUUAUAUUGAAUGGGAAACCUGUUGAUUAAGUUAGCUAUGUGAGGUUUAGAAUUGACGCACAUAUGUUGUCUUCUACUUUGUAUGAUUGGGUAUGAUUUUCAGAAUGUUUGCUAAGCUUGAAAAUAUAAAUGAAUAUGUUUUUUUACUUGUGUUAUGUGAAAUGUCAUAUUUCAAUUUAUUUUUAAAUUUUCAACCAAAUUAUGCAAAUUUGCAAUUUUAUUCCGAGUAAGUGUAUAUUAAUGGAUCAAAUUAUGUUCCCUAAUUUUAUAGGCAUGAUUAGACAUUCAUAUGAAUCUUCAUCAAAAAAAUUUAGAGUUUUUAAACGAGAGACAAAUUAAUUAUAAUUGUUUAAGAAAUUCUUAAUUAGAAGAAAAAAAUCAAAAUUUAUCGGUCCCGAGUUAGGAAAAUCUAAUUUUUCGUCUAAAAUCAUAUUUUAGCGUUCUAACGUACAUAUAUAGAAACAGUCAUAAAAAAAUUCAACUUCGCUUUCUUAAAUUAUGUGCAUAUUAUAAGAUCAAAAUAAAAACAACCUCAAACUACAAGAUCAGAAUAUAUGUUUUUUUAUUUAUAGAACUACUUUUUUUUUUUUUUUUUGAAGGAAUUUAUAGAACUACUUUUAGACACCACAUAUUAUAAGGGGAAUUUAAAUCAUUAACCCAAAAAUUAAAAAUUAAAUUAGUAGUUCCUUACAUCAUAUUAUUGUCAUGGUUCCUUUUUUUUAAAAAAAAAAAAAGUAAAUUAUUGUCGUGGUUCCACCAUUUGUGUCGGUGACUAUAGAGCCAACCCAACCUGAAAGCGACACAUACAACGCUACGAUAAGUUGCGUAACUAGUUACGUGUACUCACGCGCCAGAGGUACUUUGUGCUUUAGCUUGAUUUUGAACUUCACGCUCCUAAAAUAGGCGUCAUAAAAUGACACUAUAUGUCUUUUUAUUAUUUGUGUUGGUGAUGCAUAUAUUUUCAUCCUUUCCUUAAAAAAACAUAUAUUUUCAUCUCAAAGUUUUUUCUUAGAAAUUUUCGUCUCAAAUUUUGAAUAUAACAUUGAUAAAGCACAUGAUAUAUGUAGAUGAGUAUAUAUGAAGAGCGAGAGCGUAGGAAAGUUUUUAGGUUGAAGGGAAGAAGAGUCAAGGUAAAUGGUAAUGAUAAAGAUACAAAGAGGCGUAGAUAAACGAUGACAGAGUGGAGUAGGUUAAAUAAAGGGAUAUGGUGAGAGAUGUCAAUCGCUGUAAGGAUUAGGGGAUUGAUGAGAAUGAGGGGAUUGUUAGGAUGAAAUGUAAAUAAAGGGAUAAGAAGUUGUGUAUGAAGUAAAUGAAUGACGUGAGGGUUGGUAAAAUAUGUGAGUUAGGAUAUGAAUCGAUUACAAGAGAGUAAGAUGAACUAGAAAGAAGAUAAGGGAUAAAUGAAGAAUAGAGGAUUGUUUUGGGAAUAGUUCAUAAACAAGAACCGAAGAUAAUAGAAGAACCUUAGAAUAAUGAGUCUAAUAACAUAAGUUUAAAUUAAAGAGUAAAAAAUCUAAGUAGAACAAGUAUAAGAUGUUAGCGGCCUAACGCAGUAGAUAGCGAAUAAGAUGAAUCAAUAUAUGAAUAUAGGAAUUUAUAAGUGGAAAUAAUGUUGAGGUAAGAGCUUAAAACUAAGACGAAGAAUAGGAUACGCCAUAGAGGGUAAGGUGUAGAGCCAAAAUGAACAAGUAGAAUAAUGAAGUGGUUUAAGGUCAAGAAGAUGCUAGGUGAAGAAAUAAGACGAAGGUAACUGGAAAUAGAAAGGUGUAAGUUUAAGGAAGGGUAAUGUUAGAAAUAAUAAUAAUAAUGGUGAAGCCGUUUCAAAAUAAUAAUAAUAAUGAUGAAAUAACGACCUUAAGUUAAGAUGAAUAGAGUGUGGACGAUUUAAGAUGAUAGAUGAUGUUGAGAGAAUUGAUUAAACAAAAUAGAACGGGCAUAAAAAGUCGUGUGUUAAGUAAUAAAUGAUGUUAGGGGUAAUAUUAGUCAUGAGACAAGAUAAUAAAUCACUAGAGAAAUAAAAGACCUAAGUUAGUGAUGAGAUAAAACCGCAAGUGCACGGUCUUACCGAAGUAGUAAUAAAAGAGUAUCGUUACGAUAGAGAGUUGUUUAAUUUAUUUAACUUUAAUAGGUGAUUAGAAGAGAAUCAAGAAUAUGAGAUUGGGGUUUUGAAACGGUUGAAAGAUAAUAUAAUAAAAGAGCCUUGGGAUCAUUUGUUCAUCUUCAUGACAAGUUCUUCUCAAACCAAACUAUUAAACUUAUAACCUUAUGUUAGACCUAACUUCUAAAGACAGUUUCUCUUUUGUUGCUCUAGCCACCA